Limulus polyphemus (Atlantic horseshoe crab) is the source of this 478-nucleotide long non-coding RNA. RefSeq lists it as uncharacterized. The record is from RefSeq and is a predicted model, not a curated record. The transcript has 2 exons. NCBI's taxonomy places the organism in Eukaryota, Metazoa, Arthropoda, Merostomata, Xiphosura, Limulidae.
GUGUCACGGUGAUAUAAAAUGCCCCGAAGGAUGGUUCUGUGAUCACCACAAAGGUUACUGCGACACCUAUCGAGAAGCAAAGGAACCAUGCGAAAACGAUUAUCAAUGUCAUAGCAAUCUCAUCUGCAUUCGUGGAAAAUGUGCUCGGCCAUAUGAACCUAGACAUAAAGGGCAUGCACUUACCAGGACAGGAACCAUUUCCUCAAGUGCUAGAAAGUUGACAAAAAUCCAUGCAAGUAGAAGUGUCACCUAGAAAACUUGAAGCAACGGAAGGUGAUAACAAAGCUGACAGCACGAUAAGCCAUUACUUAAGUGCCAGAUAGAAUGAAAAGCACAACAUUGUUCUAGGUUUUCUUUGAUUAACAAAGCUGACAGAAAUGUUUGAAGAUUGUCAUACACAUUUCACAGCAUGAUAAGCCAUUACUUGAGUGCCAGAUAGAAUGAAAAGCACAACAUUGUUCUAGGUUUUCUUUGAUUA